UAGGGAAUCUUCGGCAAUGGACGGAAGUCUGACCGAGCAACGCCGCGUGAGUGAAGAAGGUUUUCGGAUCGUAAAGCUCUGUUGUAAGAGAAGAACGAGUGUGAGAGUGGAAAGUUCACACUGUGACGGUAUCUUACCAGAAAGGGACGGCUAACUACGUGCCAGCGGCCGCGGUAAUACGUAGGUCCCGAGCGUUGUCCGGAUUUAUUGGGCGUAAAGCGAGCGCAGGCGGUUAGAUAAGUCUGAAGUUAAAGGCUGUGGCUUAACCAUAGUAGGCUUUGGAAACUGUUUAACUUGAGUGCAAGAGGGGAGAGUGGAAUUCCAUGUGUAGCGGUGAAAUGCGUAGAUAUAUGGAGGAACACCGGUGGCGAAAGCGGCUCUCUGGCUUGUAACUGACGCUGAGGCUCGAAAGCGUGGGGAGCAAACAGGAUUAGAUACCCUGGUAGUCCACGCUGUAAACGAUGAGUGCUAGGUGUUAGACCCUUUCCGGGGUUUAGUGCCGUAGCUAACGCAUUAAGCACUCCGCCUGGGGAGUACGACCGCAAGGUUG
RNAcentral lists this ribosomal RNA (550 nucleotides) under uncultured bacterium. RNAcentral describes it as "bacterial SSU rRNA". It matches the Rfam family "Bacterial small subunit ribosomal RNA", at positions 355 to 896 of the family's 1533-position model. The record is from RNAcentral.